GAGANGGGUAGCCGGCCUGAGAGGGCGACCGGCCACACUGGGCCUGAGGCACGGCCCAGACUCCUACGGGAGGCAGCAGUGGGGAAUAUUGCACAAUGGGCGAAAGCCUGAUGCAGCGACGCCGCGUGAGGGAUGACGGCCUUCGGGUUGUAAACCUCUUUCAGCAGGGACGAAGCGCAAGUGACUGUACCUGCAGAAGAAGCACCGGCUAACUACGUGCCAGCAGCCGCGGUAAUACGUAGGGUGCGAGCGUUGUCCGGAAUUAUUGGGCGUAAAGAGCUUGUAGGUGGCUCGUUGCGUCGGGAGUGAAAACCCGCGGCUUAACCGCGGGCCUGCUUCCGAUACGGGCGAGCUAGAGUUCGGCAGGGGAGACUGGAAUUCCUGGUGUAGCGGUGGAAUGCGCAGAUAUCAGGAGGAACACCGGUGGCGAAGGCGGGUCUCUGGGCCGAUACUGACACUGAGAAGCGAAAGCGUGGGGAGCGAACAGGAUUAGAUACCCUGGUAGUCCACGCCGUAAACGUUGGGAACUAGGUGUGGGGUCCAUUCCACGGGCUCUGUGCCGCAGCUAACGCAUUAAGUUCCCCGCG
This 587-nucleotide ribosomal RNA is filed under the name Catenulispora sp. PS1. RNAcentral describes it as "bacterial SSU rRNA". It matches the Rfam family "Bacterial small subunit ribosomal RNA", at positions 276 to 873 of the family's 1533-position model. Lineage: Bacteria; Bacillati; Actinomycetota; Actinomycetes; Catenulisporales; Catenulisporaceae. The record is from RNAcentral.